GACGAACGCUGGCGGCGUGCCUAAUACAUGCAAGUAGAACGCUGAAGCUUGGUGCUUGCACCGAGCGGAUGAGUUGCGAACGGGUGAGUAACGCGUAGGUAACCUGCCUGGUAGCGGGGGAUAACUAUUGGAAACGAUAGCUAAUACCGCAUAAGAGUAGAUGUUGCAUGACAUUUGCUUAAAAGGUGCAAUUGCAUCACUACCAGAUGGACCUGCGUUGUAUUAGCUAGUUGGUGAGGUAACGGCUCACCAAGGCAACGAUACAUAGCCGACCUGAGAGGGUGAUCGGCCACACUGGGACUGAGACACGGCCCAGACUCCUACGGGAGGCAGCAGUAGGGAAUCUUCGGCAAUGGACGGAAGUCUGAACGAGCAACGCCGCGUGAGUGAAGAAGGUUUUCGGAUCGUAAAGCUCGGUUGUAAGAGAAGAACGAGUGUGAGAGUGGAAAGUUCACACUGUGACGGUAUCUUACCAGAAAGGGACGGCUAACUACGUG
Molecule: ribosomal RNA, 497 nt
Filed under: uncultured bacterium
Lineage: Bacteria
Description: partial 16S ribosomal RNA
Rfam family: Bacterial small subunit ribosomal RNA
Source: RNAcentral